This 502-nucleotide ribosomal RNA is filed under the name Trigonopterus nangiorum. RNAcentral's name for it is "partial large subunit ribosomal RNA". Lineage: Eukaryota; Metazoa; Arthropoda; Insecta; Coleoptera; Curculionidae. The record is from RNAcentral.
UGAUUAAAUUUAAUGGCCGCAGUAUAUUAACUGUGCAAAGGUAGCAUAAUCAUUAGUUUUUUAAUAGAAAGCUUGUAUGAAAGGUUUAAUGAGAAAAUUUCUGUCUCUAGAAAAAUUUAUUAGAACUUUAUUUUUAAGUGAAAAAGCUUAAAUUUUUAUAGAAGACGAGAAGACCCUAUAGAGUUUUAUAUUUAUAUUAAUGGUUAAUAUUUUAAGAAUUUAAAAUAUUAUUUUUAGUGUAAUUAUUUAGUUGGGGUGACGGAAAAAUUAGUUUAACUUUUUUUUUAUAACAACAUUUAUUUAUGAAUUUAUGAUCCUUAAUUUAAGAUUAAAAGAAAAAAUUACCUUAGGGAUAACAGCGUAAUUUUUUUUARAGUUCUUAUCGAAUGAAAAGAUUGSGACCUCGAUGUUGGAUUAAAAUUUAUUAUUGGKGAARAAGCUAAUAUAUUAGGKCUGUUCGACCUUUAAAAUUUUACAUGAUCUGAGUUUAAACCGGUGKGAG